GCUCUAAACACUAGGUUCCAAAGUAAUGCUCUCUCAAGGUUUUUUUUCCUGGAUCCAUGACUCUUGCAUUUUUGCCUGAAUAUUGGCCCAGCUUCUACAGAGGAAAAGUGUCCACUGUGCCCAAGACACAACAGACUUUCUACAAAAACUUAAAAACAUAAACCACCUUCCCAGUAUCACCCUCCUAGCCACCAUGGAUGUUACCAACUCAUCAACAGCCCACACCAGGAUGGCAUCCAAGCUUGCCUUACAUAUCUACAGGAACAAGAUUACAACUCAGAAUACAGACCCAAAGAUAUUACUGACCUUGUAUACUCCAUCCUCACACACAACAAUUUCACUUUUAAUAACCAACACUUCCUCGAUGUGGAUAGACGAUGGAAACAGCUAUGGGCACCAAAAUGACCCCACAGUAUGCCAACCUUUUUAUGAGCCACCUGGAAGAAGACUUCCUCAAGAACUGCACCAUCAAAACCUUGUUAUACUUAAGAUAUAUCAAUGGCAUUUUCACCAUUGGGCUGAAAACCUACAAUCUUUGAUUGAGUUCCAUCAGAAAUUCAGCAAUCACCAUCCCUCCAUCCAACUUUCUCUAGAAUACUCCAGCACCAACAUCUCCUUUUUAGGCACAAUGACCAGUAUCCAGAAUGAUAAAAUACAGACCACGUUAUACAAGAAACCCACAGACCAACAUACAUAUCUGCACAGAACCAGCAAUCAACCUAAACACACCAAAAAAUCUGUGAUAUACAGCCAAGCCCUCAGAUACCACCGAAUUUGCACUGAAGAGAACACCUGGGAUUACCACCUCACCAAUCUUAAAAAGGCUUGCACCCAACAAGGACACUCCUCCAGAGAGAUGGAUCAUACAUUUGAAAGAGCCAUCCGGAUACCACGUGAACAACUGCUGCAGUACAGAAGAAAACCCCCCACAAAUCACACACCGCUGGUUAUGACAUAUCACCCCUCCCUUGAACCCAUACAGAAAAUUCUCAAACAAUUGCAACCCAUACUAGAAAGAGACCCUACUCUAAAAAAGAUCUUCCCAGAGCCAUCCAUCCUAGCCUUCAAAGAAGCACUGAACCUCGCUAACCUCAUCACCAGAAGCAAACUUCCUCAGGCCCAGAACACACCAAAUGGAUCCAAACCAUGCCAUGACAAGAAAUACAAAACCUGCCAACACAUCUCCACGCCACCCCACGAUUACUACACCCCACACAGAGCCAUCCUCAUUCCCAGAUCUUAC
Molecule: long non-coding RNA, 1243 nt
Filed under: Crocodylus porosus (Australian saltwater crocodile)
Lineage: Eukaryota; Metazoa; Chordata; Crocodylia; Crocodylidae
Description: lncRNA (ENSCPRG00005016850.1)
Source: RNAcentral